GCCAGAUAAAAAUUCCUGGUGGUUUCAGACCGUCCGAGUACACGUGCGACCCUCCCCCUCCACAAUGCCUGUCCUGUUGCUCUUUCCUUUGCUUUUGCUUGGUGCUAGUUCAAUUGAGUGAUUGACUCCCACACCGCUACACGUAUAGUGUUCGUCCGGUCUCAAAAAUAGUCUCGCUCAAAAUCUAAAAUCAGAUCACUCAUCGUAAAAACGUUUCUUUUAAAUUGUGCUUCUCUUCUCGUAAUGGAAUUUUCAAGGUAUCGUGAGUGAAUCCUCGCUAAAAGUAAUCGUGGUGAGAAAGGCAAUACCCGAAUGAAAUAACGCCUCCUCUACUUCGUGAAAUUGCAGCCCAAGAAUGUCACGCUGAAGUCGAGCAGAUGGAUUUCCAGUUUCCCACUUCCCAACUUGUUUAUAAUGAGCUUACGAGUCUUCGAACGUCAAUAUUUUGUGGUCUCUCCAACAUUUGUGAAGGCGGUGCACUAAGACAGAAGAUUUUCACUCUAUUGCGUCAGAGGUGUUCAUAAAUUUACAGACCCACACUUCAUCACGGUAAAAUCUCUCCAAGUACUUCCUGCUCUCAGAAUCAAUUGUGAACGAAUCGAAUUUUUGUCUAUUGUCUCAAUUUUCAAAGUGGACGGUUGCAGUAUCCGUCCUCACCACUAAUAGUAGCAGUCGCCAUAUGGGCGGUUUUUAGUAAAAUCAGUCUAACUGCAAUACUGCAUUCCACGUUGCCGAUUUAAUUGAAGCUCUCAGACAACGGCCCAACUCGGGUUGAUUACGAUGUUAAUUUUUUUGCGUAGGAACACUUCUUUCUUAGCUAUUACGCAGUUUUUAUCUUCUCCUAAAAAAUUUCAUUUUUUCGAGAUGUAUCGUUUUCGAACUGAGAGAUUCGACUCUUUCUGAUAUUUUGUCAGCUUAUACCAAAAACUAAGGAACUAAGGAAGAAUCUGUGUAGAGAAAAUUAAAGUAGGAGAGGAGGAAGAACAAACAGAGGGAGGAGAAGAGGAGAGAACAUGGAAAAAGGAGGAAGAAAACGAGAAAGAAAGAAGAGAAAGAAGAAUCGGAAGAAAAGAAGAGAGAGAACAGGAAGAAGCUAGACAAGAGAGGAGAAAGAGGAGCAGGAAGAAGAGAGAGGAAAAAGGAGGACAGGACGAAGAGAGAGAAUAGGGGGCUUGAGAAAGAGGGAAGGAAGUUAGAGAAAAGAAGGAUGGCAAGAAGAGAGAGAAGAAUGGAAAGAGGAGGAAAAUAAAAAGAAAAGGAAGAAGAGAAUAAAGAGGAGAGGAAAGAGAGAUGGAGGAAGAAUUCGAGGAAGAAGAAGAAGGUUGAAGAGAGUAAAAUAAGGAUAAGAAGAAAAAGAGAAAGAAGAUGAAGAAGAGUAAGGAAAAGAAAAGAGAAAGAAGAAGUAAAGAUGUGAGAAGGAUGAAAAGAAGAGAGAAACGAUGAAGAUCAAAAAUAGCAAGGAGAGGGAAGGUGGGACAAAAAAGAAGAUAAGGAAGAAGAAGCAGCACACAUUCUGCAUAAGAACAUUGAUGGUACCUGCGCUGUUUUAAAAAUGAGCCUAAAAUAUUGAUUCCUUAUUGCAAAAUAUAGUUUUACAUAAUCAGAAAUGAAGUAAUGUUACCUAAGAUUUCAGUGUUUUAAUUCCUGAGUGGCAUUAGGAUAUAUCUGACAUACGACGGCGAAACUACUACACCGCGUAUCUCGUUUCGAA
Long non-coding RNA from Bemisia tabaci, 1711 nucleotides. RefSeq lists it as uncharacterized. Lineage: Eukaryota; Metazoa; Arthropoda; Insecta; Hemiptera; Aleyrodidae. The record is from RefSeq and is a predicted model, not a curated record.